GGAGGGUAUAGAUCAGUGGUAGAGUGCAUGCUUAGCAUGCAUGAGGUACUGGGUUCGAUCCCCAGUACCUCCA
This 73-nucleotide transfer RNA is filed under the name Vicugna pacos (alpaca). Its description in RNAcentral is "tRNA-Ala (AGC) (tRNA-Ala-AGC-811-1)". It matches the Rfam family "tRNA". From Rfam's summary of the family: Transfer RNA (tRNA) molecules are approximately 80 nucleotides in length. The record is from RNAcentral. Lineage: Eukaryota; Metazoa; Chordata; Mammalia; Artiodactyla; Camelidae.